Sinocyclocheilus grahami is the source of this 108-nucleotide long non-coding RNA. RefSeq lists it as uncharacterized. The record is from RefSeq and is a predicted model, not a curated record. The transcript has 3 exons. NCBI's taxonomy places the organism in Eukaryota, Metazoa, Chordata, Actinopteri, Cypriniformes, Cyprinidae.
ACAGAGCAUCUGGAGCCGAUUUUCUAGACACCAAUCACCCAGAACCAAUACAAAUCUGAGUGCAGAAUACAAGGCAAACAACACAUGUACAGUGUCAGGAAACAAGCC